CAACAGGGAUUGCCUUAGUAACGGCGAGUGAAGCGGCAAAAGCUCAAAUUUGAAAUCUGGCACCUUCGGUGUCCGAGUUGUAAUUUGAAGAAGGUAACUUUGGAGUUGGCUCUUGUCUAUGUUCCUUGGAACAGGACGUCACAGAGGGUGAGAAUCCCGUGCGAUGAGAUGCCCAAUUCUAUGUAAAGUGCUUUCGAAGAGUCGAGUUGUUUGGGAAUGCAGCUCUAAGUGGGUGGUAAAUUCCAUCUAAAGCUAAAUAUUGGCGAGAGACCGAUAGCGAACAAGUACAGUGAUGGAAAGAUGAAAAGAACUUUGAAAAGAGAGUGAAAAAGUACGUGAAAUUGUUGAAAGGGAAGGGCUUGAGAUCAGACUUGGUAUUUUGCGAUCCUUUCCUUCUUGGUUGGGUUCCUCGCAGCUUACUGGGCCAGCAUCGGUUUGGAUGGUAGGAUAAUGACUAAGGAAUGUGGCUCUACUUCGG
Molecule: ribosomal RNA, 478 nt
Filed under: Debaryomyces subglobosus
Lineage: Eukaryota; Fungi; Ascomycota; Pichiomycetes; Serinales; Debaryomycetaceae
Description: LSU rRNA
Rfam family: Eukaryotic large subunit ribosomal RNA
Source: RNAcentral